This 348-nucleotide ribosomal RNA is filed under the name Escherichia coli. RNAcentral's name for it is "bacterial SSU rRNA". It matches the Rfam family "Bacterial small subunit ribosomal RNA", at positions 1 to 343 of the family's 1533-position model. The record is from RNAcentral. Lineage: Bacteria; Pseudomonadati; Pseudomonadota; Gammaproteobacteria; Enterobacterales; Enterobacteriaceae.
UUAAAUUGAAGAGUUUGAUCAUGGCUCAGAUUGAACGCUGGCGGCAGGCCUAACACAUGCAAGUCGAACGGUAACAGGAAUCAGCUUGCUGAUUCGCUGACGAGUGGCGGACGGGUGAGUAAUGUCUGGGAAACUGCCUGAUGGAGGGGGAUAACUACUGGAAACGGUAGCUAAUACCGCAUAACGUCGCAAGACCAAAGAGGGGGACCUUCGGGCCUCUUGCCAUCGGAUGUGCCCAGAUGGGAUUAGCUAGUAGGUGGGGUAACGGCUCACCUAGGCGACGAUCCCUAGCUGGUCUGAGAGGAUGACCAGCCACACUGGAACUGAGACACGGUCCAGACUCCUACG